RNAcentral lists this ribosomal RNA (484 nucleotides) under uncultured bacterium. Its description in RNAcentral is "partial 16S ribosomal RNA". It matches the Rfam family "Bacterial small subunit ribosomal RNA", at positions 30 to 507 of the family's 1533-position model. The record is from RNAcentral.
AUUGAACGCUGGCGGCAGGCCUAACACAUGCAAGUCGAGCGGAUGAAGGGAGCUUGCUCCUGGAUUCAGCGGCGGACGGGUGAGUAAUGCCUAGGAAUCUGCCUGGUAGUGGGGGAUAACGUCCGGAAACGGGCGCUAAUACCGCAUACGUCCUGAGGGAGAAAGUGGGGGAUCUUCGGACCUCACGCUAUCAGAUGAGCCUAGGUCGGAUUAGCUAGUUGGUGGGGUAAAGGCCUACCAAGGCGACGAUCCGUAACUGGUCUGAGAGGAUGAUCAGUCACACUGGAACUGAGACACGGCCCAGACUCCUACGGGAGGCAGCAGUGGGGAAUAUUGGACAAAGGGCGAAAGCCUGAUCCAGCCAUGCCGCGUGUGUGGAGAAGGUCUUCGGAUUGUAAAGCACUUUAAGUUGGGAGGAAGGGCAGUAAGUUAAUACCUUGCUGUUUUGACGUUACCAACAGAAUAAGCACCGGCUAACUUCGUG